AGGGAGAGACGGAGACGGAGAGCGCUAGCUGCAGUUGAGGCGCCGUUGCAGAGCCAGAGGAACCCCUUAAGCAUGCAGACAAGUAAAGGAGAGAAGUGAAGAGCAUUUACCAGCAGCAGCCGUGGCGACAGCAGCAGGUUGAGCAGCCGGAACACCUCCUCACACCACCUCCGUGAGCAUUCCCCACUGCCAAAGAGAUAAGCUACUUCAGGUGAAUUAUUGGCUGCUAUGGAGAAGAUAUGGAGAGAGGUUUGGAUUGAGACUACGGUCCGAACGAGAUGGCCGAAAGGAGCAUGGGUUGUAUCUCAUGAGGACUUUGAAAAUGUGUUUGGCAGAAACCCGAUGAAUCUGAUCAAGAGUAAUUUAAACUAAUCUUCUGAGGAAUAGACACAAAAGCCCAACAGUACAAAGACCUGAACAAGUGAGACACAGCUCGCCCACCCAGACAUGUAUUUUGUCCUUUCUGUGCUCCCCUCAGUUUUCUUCUGGUGCCCCCACCAACAGAAGAG
Long non-coding RNA from Hemicordylus capensis (graceful crag lizard), 509 nucleotides. RefSeq lists it as uncharacterized. The record is from RefSeq and is a predicted model, not a curated record. NCBI's taxonomy places the organism in Eukaryota, Metazoa, Chordata, Lepidosauria, Squamata, Cordylidae. The transcript has 3 exons.